Molecule: unclassified non-coding RNA, 367 nt
Filed under: Hevea brasiliensis (rubber tree)
Lineage: Eukaryota; Viridiplantae; Streptophyta; Magnoliopsida; Malpighiales; Euphorbiaceae
Source: RNAcentral
GCAAGAGAGAGAAAGAGAGUGAGAAAUCAAAAGUUUAAAUUGAAUGAAAAAAAAGGAAUAUAUCAAUGGCUCCUCCCUCGAUUUUUUUCACUUAUUGUUUGUCGAGAUACUCAUCUUCCUCUUCCUCCUCCUCACAGUCAUCUCGUCUCUCACAGGCACAGUGACUGACCCCAACAGCAAGAGAGAGAAAGAGAGUGGCGUUUUUGCUCAAGCAAUUGAAUCGAUUUCUCUGCUUUUUAUAUUUCUAUAAUUUAGGGUUUCUCUCCAGUUUGAGGAGUGGAGUGCCUUUCUUUCUUUCUUUCUUUUGUUUUAGGGUUUCAUUAUUUGGAUCGAAUUAUAAUUGAAGGUGGAGAGAGAGAGAGAGAGA